RNAcentral lists this ribosomal RNA (797 nucleotides) under Glenea sp. JL-2014. RNAcentral describes it as "partial 12S ribosomal RNA". Lineage: Eukaryota; Metazoa; Arthropoda; Insecta; Coleoptera; Cerambycidae. The record is from RNAcentral.
AAUAAUACAAUUUAAUUAGUUUUAGUAUUAAUAUGUAAGAAAUUAGUAAAUUUUAAGGGGAGAUUUAUUAAGUGGAAUUUUAAAUUUUUAGGGGGUUUAUUUUUGAUUAUUAGUUAAGAAAUUUAUUUAUAGACUAGGAUUAGAUACCCUAUUAUUUUAAAUGUAAAUUUUUACUAGAUUAGUAUUAGUUAAGUUCUUGAAAAUUAAAGAUUUUGGCGGUUUUUUAAUCUAUUCAGAGGAACCUGUUCUAUAAUUGAUAGUCCACGAUUUUUAUAACUUUUUUUAAUAGUUUAUAUAUCGUCGUAGUUUGAAUUUUCUAGUAGGAUUUUAAUUUUCAAGAGUUACUUUUUUAAAAGAAAUCAGAUCAAGGUAUAGUUUAUAAAAAAGAAGAAAUGGGUUACAUUAAUUUUAAUUUUGGAUUAUUUAUUGAAAAUAGGUAUGAAUUUGGAUUUGAGUGUAAUUUUAUGUAAAUUAAUAAAAUGAUUUUAGCUCUAAAAUAUGUACAUAUUGCCCGUCGCUUUCAUUUUAAGGUGGAAUAAGUCGUAACAAAGUAGGUUUACUGGAAAGUGAGUCUAGAAAGCAAGUUAGAGCUUGCUAUAAAGCGUGUUAUUUACACUAAUAAGUUAAUUGUGAAAUUCAGUUUUUCUUGAGAUAUAGAAAAUUAUAAAUAUAGGGUGAAUUUUAUAUAUUAAGAAAAGUAUUUUUUGUUUAGUAAUUAUAAGAAAAAUAGGGGUAGAUUAUAGAGGAUAAGUAUUGUAAUAGAAUUUUUUUUAUGGGUAAAAGAAAAAUUUUAUUUU